CCUACGGGUGGCUGCAGUGGGGGAUAUUGCACAAUGGGGGAAACCCUGAUGCAGCGACGCCGCGUGUGGGAAGACGGUCUUCUGGAUUGUAAACCACUGUCCCCAGGGACGAAAAUGACGGUACCUGGGGAGGAAGCUCCGGCUAACUACGUGCCAGCAGCCGCGGUAAUACGUAGGGAGCAAGCGUUGUCCGGAAUUACUGGGUGUAAAGGGAGCGUAGGCGGGGAUGCAAGUUGGGUGUCAAAACUACCGGCUCAACCGAUAGUCGCACUCAAAACUGCAGCUCUUGAGUGAAGUAGAGGCAGGCGGAAGUCCUAGUGUAGCGGUGAAAUGCGUAGAUAGUAGGAGGAACACCAGUGGCGAAGGCGGCCUGCUGGGCUUUUACUGACGCUGAGGCUCGAAAGUGUGGGGAGCAAACAGGAUUAGAUACCCCUGUAGUC
RNAcentral lists this ribosomal RNA (440 nucleotides) under uncultured bacterium. RNAcentral describes it as "partial 16S ribosomal RNA". It matches the Rfam family "Bacterial small subunit ribosomal RNA", at positions 338 to 795 of the family's 1533-position model. The record is from RNAcentral.